GGGUCUUAACGAUUACAGAUAAACCAAAAUCAGUAUAGGGCACAUGUUUAUCCCAGCUGAUAUGGCCAGGGCGUACGCAGUUCGCAGAAUAGCUUGCCUGAUUGAGUUUUGCUGAGGGUAACACAACAAAUCACAUUUUCUUUCUCCAAAGAGGGAAAGUUAGAGCAUCAUUCAUCAACUCGUAUGCAAACUGUGUUGUCAAGUGAACCCACAGCUCAUUUGGUUGAAUAUGGUUGUGGAGUCAGUCCUCCAACAGAGCGUGGGUUCAAAGAGGAAGGGCUAAAUUGGACAGAAACUGCGGACGAGAUUUGAUAUGUCGCACAGGUCCAAAGCAUCUGUAUUCGUCAUUUCAGUACUCGUAAGAAGCAAACCUGUCUUCAAGGAAGUCUGCCGAGUGAAGACUAUGGACUGAACUGUAAAAUUUAAUUCUCUUAAGGUGCCAGAGCUGCAAAACUAGUGCAUUAAGAUAACUUUGCCCCAACUAGAAUUCAGGUUGUCUGAGAAUCCAGAGCAACGGUCGAGAGAGUUUACUUUAUCACAGAUCAAAAGCAUGUAAUCUUGUCAGGCACAAGAAACGUAAAGCUACCAUUAGACAUUCUUAGUAUGCCACUAUACCAUGAAACAAAUGUCGCAACUAACUUCAAUUCAUCGACAGCAAAUAGAGCCUCGAGACCUUACCAAUAUCCAGUAGAGGAAUCUUCAACUGACCUCCAUUGGCAGCGGCAAAAAGAGCCCAGCACAAUGGUUUUUCAAUCCACUCUGCCAGGCUCGAGUUCAAUCAAACCGGAAGCUUUCCUUCAUCGCCAUUUUCAACCACAGACAAUUGCAGUUUGCACACGCUUUUAUUCCUUACUCAUCACAAGCAUGCCCAGGUCAUAUCCCGCAAGCAUAGGACACGUGGCAGAACCAAGACUGAUCUCGUGGGAAGCAACUGUUUCACUAAAAACAGCUAAGAGCAUAUCAAACCAAUGGGCAUAUCUGCCUUUGUCUCAACCCACCACGAGCUGCCUCGCCAAAAGCUUGGGAAAUAUUUGCCUACUGUUGGAAUCCUGUGAAACACAGGUGGGAUUUCCACAGGACCUACAGGAUCAUCAGCAGUUGGUGACAGAUCCAGUCCAUAUAUGACUUGGGGUCCAUGUGAUAAUUUUCAAUUCCCAGACCCAUUUGAGCUCCCACCUUCCCCGAGCCCCAAGAGAUCCCGAUAACACAUCUUCCGGUUGUUCUGUUUUAGACUCUACAACAGCUGAAAAAAAGAACAGAGCUGCUCUGCAAUUGUUCAACACAUACAGGGAGGUGUGGAAUAGAGUCACGAGAGUGUGAUGGAAAAAUGUAACGCAGAAAAGCAUAAUCAUGGUUGAAAGAGUUCGAUAGAAUCUGCACAUGCUGAGGUAUUUGCAAAAGCUUCUGCAAAAGAAAUACAAAGCUCUCUUUUUGAAUGAACCAUAAGUCCAUGAAUCCAGGGAACAAUGCACAAUGAACAAAUUCUCGCAUUGAAACCCGAAUGCUCAUAUUAUGAAUAAUUACAAACAGCAAACAUUUUAUAACCAUAUGGGAGGCACAGAAACCAAAACAACGGUACGGCACGUGUUUUGCGCUGCUGAUAUGGCAAGGGCGCAUGUUGCUCACACUGUAGCUUGCCUGAUCGAGUUUUGCUAAGUGCUACACAGCAACUUGACAUUUUUCCUUUUCUCCAAAGAGAGAAACCGGUAUGCAUUAUUAGUUAACUUGUAUGCACACUACAUUGUCAAGUGCAGCCACAGCCCAGUCAGUUGAAUGAGGAGUCAGUCCUCCGACAGAGCGUGGAUUUAAAGAGGAAGAACUAAGUUGGACAGAACUGAGAACGAAAUUGAUAGGUAGCACAAGUCCAAAGCAUCUGUAUGUGACAUUUCAGUACUCAUACAUUAGUUGCGCACCUCAUGCAGAGAACACCUCAUAAGAAGCAAACCUAUUUUAGAAGGAGUCUGCAUUAUUAAGACUAUGGGCCGAACUGUAAAAUUUAAUUCUCUUAAGGUGCCAGAGCUGCAAAACUAGUGCAAUGAGAUAACUUUGCCCCAACUAGAAUUCAGGCUGUCUAAGAAUCCAGAGCAACGGUUGAGAGAGUUUACAUUGUCACA
Molecule: long non-coding RNA, 2114 nt
Filed under: Eucalyptus grandis
Lineage: Eukaryota; Viridiplantae; Streptophyta; Magnoliopsida; Myrtales; Myrtaceae
Description: long non-coding RNA (EGRA_LNC002534)
Source: RNAcentral